UUCUACGGCCAUACCACCCUGAAAGGGCUUCAUCUCGUCCGAUCUCAGAAGCUAAGCAGGGUUGGGCCUGGUUAGUACUUGGUGGGAGAAA
Molecule: ribosomal RNA, 91 nt
Filed under: Capra hircus (goat)
Lineage: Eukaryota; Metazoa; Chordata; Mammalia; Artiodactyla; Bovidae
Source: RNAcentral